CCACCUUUGACAUGUACGGAACCCUUUAGAGAUAGAGGGUGCUCGAAAGAGAGCCGUAACACAGGUGCUGCAUGGCUGUCGUCAGCUCGUGUCGUGAGAUGUUGGGUUAAGUCCCGCAACGAGCGCAACCCUUGUCAUUAGUUGCUACAUUCAGUUGGGCACUCUAAUGAGACUGCCGGUGACAAGCCGGAGGAAGUGGGGAUGACGUCAAGUCCUCAUGGCCCUUAUAGGUGGGGCUACACACGUCAUACAAUGGCUGGUACAAAGGGUUGCCAACCCGCGAGGGGGAGCCAAUCCCAUAAAGCCAGUCGUAGUCCGGAUCGUAGUCUGCAACUCGACUACGUGAAGUCGGAAUCGCUAGUAAUCGUGGAUCAGAAUGUCACGGUGAAUACGUUCCCGGGUCUU
This 405-nucleotide ribosomal RNA is filed under the name uncultured Rhodoferax sp. RNAcentral describes it as "bacterial SSU rRNA". It matches the Rfam family "Bacterial small subunit ribosomal RNA", at positions 975 to 1382 of the family's 1533-position model. Lineage: Bacteria; Pseudomonadati; Pseudomonadota; Betaproteobacteria; Burkholderiales; Comamonadaceae. The record is from RNAcentral.